UACGGGGGGAGCAAGCGUUGUUCGGAUUUACUGGGCGUAAAGGGCGCGUAGGCGGCCAGCACAAGUCAGUUGUGAAAUCUCCGAGCUUAACUCGGAAAGGUCAACUGAUACUGUGCGGCUAGAGUGCGGAAGGGGCAACUGGAAUUCUUGGUGUAGCGGUGAAAUUCGUAGAUAUCGGGAGGAACACCGGCGGCGAAGGCGGCGACCUGGUUGGAUACUGACGCUGAGACGCGAAAGCGUGGGGAGCAAACAGG
RNAcentral lists this ribosomal RNA (254 nucleotides) under uncultured bacterium. RNAcentral describes it as "partial 16S ribosomal RNA". It matches the Rfam family "Bacterial small subunit ribosomal RNA", at positions 524 to 776 of the family's 1533-position model. The record is from RNAcentral.